GUGAAUCAUCAAAUUUUUGAACGCAAAUUGCGCCUUUUUCGGAAGGCAUGUCUGUUUGAGGGCACCAUUUAACAAAUAAUGUGCAGCGUUGUGUGUAUAUAUGACGUGCACACGUUGAUGAGCUUUCCAAGAUUUUUAAUUUUUGGGUGGCGAAUAAUGAACAGCGGAAAAGUUUUUUUAAUUUCGAGUGUAU
RNAcentral lists this unclassified non-coding RNA (193 nucleotides) under Paraglomerales sp. RNAcentral describes it as "partial contains 5.8S ribosomal RNA and internal transcribed spacer 2". The stretch from base 1 to 65 matches the Rfam family "5.8S ribosomal RNA", at positions 84 to 154 of the family's 154-position model. Lineage: Eukaryota; Fungi; Glomeromycota; Glomeromycetes; Paraglomerales. The record is from RNAcentral.